ACACUCUACAAGCUAGGUGGAGGCUUGGAGAAAGAAGCGAGUCAAACGGAUCGGAUGCGAAGAAAAAGAAAACGUUGCUUGGAUGUGAGGUAUAAUUUUAGCACCGGAGGACGAUCAAGCACAACGAAGAACCGAACACGAUCAAGAUAUAAGCUUCCGCACUUUGUAUCGUUGUUAUGUAAAAUGA
Long non-coding RNA from Helianthus annuus (common sunflower), 187 nucleotides. RefSeq lists it as uncharacterized. The record is from RefSeq and is a predicted model, not a curated record. Lineage: Eukaryota; Viridiplantae; Streptophyta; Magnoliopsida; Asterales; Asteraceae. The transcript is spliced from 2 exons.